UACGAAGGGUGCAAGCGUUACUCGGAAUUACUGGGCGUAAAGCGUGCGCAGGCGGUCUGUUAAGACAGAUGUGAAAUCCCCGGGCUUAACCUGGGAACUGCAUUUGUGACUGGCAGGCUAGAGUAUGGCAGAGGGGGGUAGAAUUCCACGUGUAGCAGUGAAAUGCGUAGAGAUGUGGAGGAAUACCGAUGGCGAAGGCAGCCCCCUGGGCCAAUACUGACGCUCAUGCACGAAAGCGUGGGGAGCAAACAGG
RNAcentral lists this ribosomal RNA (253 nucleotides) under uncultured bacterium. Its description in RNAcentral is "partial 16S ribosomal RNA". It matches the Rfam family "Bacterial small subunit ribosomal RNA", at positions 524 to 776 of the family's 1533-position model. The record is from RNAcentral.